GCCCCUUUUUUCUGCAGCUGGCUUACCGAAGCACCUCACUGGAGUUCUUUGAUGAUGGGGCAAGCAGAGAGAAUCAAAGAUUGAACCAAUCAGGAUUAUCUCAGCAGUUUUUGUAUUUUUACCAAAACAAGAGACUUGCCUAGCCCAACCUUUCCUCAUACUCGCUAUUCCCCAGACCUGGGUUCCAGCCACUUUCUUCUUGGCUCCAAGGAGAAUUUCCAAUGAGAUGCCUGCCGUGUUUGCAUAGCUCAGCCAUGCUCCCAUUGCUCAUCCCAGUUCUGGGAAUGAUUUUUGCCCUGAGAGAUGCCAGAGCCCAGUCUGUGAGCCAGCCUGACUACCAUGUAAUUCUCUCUGAAGGAGCCUCACUGGAGUUGAGAUGCAACUAUUCCUAUGGUGGAACUGUUACUCUCUUCUGGUAUGUCCAGAACCCUGGUCAAGACCUUCAGCUUCUCCUCAAGUACUAUUCAGGGGACACACUGGUUAAAGGCAUCAAAGGCUUUGAGGCUGAAUUGAUGAAGAGUAGCUCUUCCUUUAACCUGAAGAAACCCUCUGUGCAGUGGAGUGACACGGCUGAGUACUUCUGUGCUGUGAAAGCCACAGUGUCUGGGACUGCAAAGGGAGCCGAACACAAACUUUGUAAGGUGCUGGAGGAAUAA
Non-coding RNA from Saimiri boliviensis boliviensis (Bolivian squirrel monkey), 656 nucleotides. NCBI's taxonomy places the organism in Eukaryota, Metazoa, Chordata, Mammalia, Primates, Cebidae. The record is from the annotation of a RefSeq genome assembly.